AAUCAUUGUAUCUGUCUCUAAUUUCUCUAUCAUCAUGGUCAAAGUACCCAAAAUUGAUUGACUAGAUCUGGUAUAGAUCCCACACCCACACACAUCGUGUCAACACGGUGCAGCACCGAAACUUAAAGAGUCCAGGCAACUUAGAUUCUAGUCAUGAGGGCCCAAGUAAAAUACUCAAAUUUGUUGUUCAGUGAGGAUGGAUUAAGGAUGUGGCAACUGAAGCAGCUCAAGUACCUUACACUUAUUCUAUGCAAAAACAGAUCAAACAAGGUAUAUGAGUUCAUUGAAUGUUUCAGGAAUGGGUGAAAAAAAUUACAAGUACAAAACAAGAGUCUUUAAAUAAAAUGGUUAUGGUGGUUUAACCAGGAAGAAAAUGUUCAAUGAUGCACAGUGAUGAAAGAGAAAUUUGGUUUAAUGAAAGAGUGCCACACAAGGAACAGAUCCAAAAUCGCUGUGGCUACUUCUGUAUAACACAAUGGAUAAAAGAUUGGCAAUGGAAGGAAACAUCUUCUCGGCAUGACAACAGGAUACACAACUUACCAUCGAAGAUGCAAUUCCCAUUUUUGAUCAACAUGGCACAAGAAUCAAAUUUUACUGUGGGAGACAGAAGAGAAGGGACAGGUGGAACAUAUGUUCCAGAUGGCAUCUUAAUGACCGGGAGAUGGAGGUGUGGAUCAACUUUUCUGGAAGGCGAGUGACUUCAUGAGAAGGCACAGGUGGAACAUAUAUUCCAGAUGGCAGCUUAAUGACUGGGAGAUGGAGAAGGUGCGGAUCAACUUUUCUAAAAGGUGAGUGACUUCAUUAUUAUACCAUGCAACAAGGCCAUAAGCAGAUCCCACCAGAUUCCAUCGUGACCUUGGAAGAGGAUUUGAAGAUCAAGAGCUUCCUAUGAAGGGCCUUGUUUUGUACGGCUUGCAUAAAGGAAGGAUGCAUUGUAAAGGAAGCAUGCCUAACGCAAGACAACCUACAAAGAGCAAUAAUGUUACUUAUCUAGUGAGGGAAAUGCAAGUAUCAGCCACCAAUAAGUUUUUGAUAAUCAUGAUGUCUGGACCAGCUAGCCACACCUUGGCUCACAGGUUACUUGUUACCUCCCACAGGCACAAGUACCGGGCAAAUAACUAGUUGUCUAGUUUUCAACAUUCUGGGAUUAUCAUGCCUAGACUAAACUCAAGUUUAUCUGCUGCAGGAACAGGAAGAUCUUAAUAAGAAGAUGAAGAAUACCCGGUAUACCAACUUGGUGGACGUCAUGGAAAGAACAGAAGGCAUUUUAAGGCAAAAAGAUACUAAUUGUUUUUAAAAUAAAAGCUGACUGCCUACUACAGAUCAUUUAUUGGUUUAAUCUAGAACUGGUAUAUGGUAUUGAACCUCGGUAAACUUUCUUAGCUCCCUGCACAGUAGAAGGGAAUUAUCUUUUGGUUUCGGCUUAUUUGGAUGUAAGCUAUAACACCAACUUAGUGCUGGUUUCAUCAAUUAAACUUAACUUCUGUAAAAAAAAAAAAAUCUAGAAUUUGUCAGUUUUUGUGUUUGUGGUACCAUGAGAAACUGUGGGGCAC
Molecule: long non-coding RNA, 1553 nt
Filed under: Solanum tuberosum (potato)
Lineage: Eukaryota; Viridiplantae; Streptophyta; Magnoliopsida; Solanales; Solanaceae
Description: long non-coding RNA (STUB_LNC005107)
Source: RNAcentral